This 292-nucleotide ribosomal RNA is filed under the name uncultured bacterium. RNAcentral's name for it is "partial 16S ribosomal RNA". It matches the Rfam family "Bacterial small subunit ribosomal RNA", at positions 505 to 796 of the family's 1533-position model. The record is from RNAcentral.
GUGUCAGCAGCCGCGGUAAUACGGAGGAUGCAAGCGUUAUCCGGAAUGAUUGGGCGUAAAGGGUCCGCAGGUGGCAGUGUAAGUCUGCUGUCAAAGAAUGAGGCUCAACCUCAUCAAGGCAGUGGAAACUACACAGCUAGAGUACGGUCGGGGUAGAAGGAAUUCCUGGUGUAGCGGUGAAAUGCGUAGAGAUCAGGAAGAACACCGGUGGCGAAAGCGUUCUGCUAGGCCUGUACUGACACUGAGGGACGAAAGCUAGGGGAGCGAAUGGGAUUAGAAACCCCUGUAGUCC